AUGACCCAGGAUUUUUCUUUAAAUGCAAGACAGAUGCGGAAGGCAGGACAGAAAACUUGUUUUGGGUGGAUGGUGCGGCAAGGAAAGCAUACGCGGAGGCUUAUCAUGAUUGCGUGUCAUUUGAUGCAACUUACCUCACGAACAUGUACAAUAUGUGUCCCCUUCAUUGGAAUCAACAGACAUGGGCAGUCAAUAAUGCUCGGGUGUGGAUUUGUCCGGCAGGAACUAGCCUCAAGUUAUGACUGGUUAUUUGAUGCUUUCCUAGAAGCAAUGGAUGGUUUGGCUCCGGACAACAUCAUCACGGACCAAGAUGUUGCUAUGGCACAAUCUAUCAAGAGGAAGUUCCCGGCAACGAUUCACCGUUGCUGCCGUUGGCAUAUAAUGAAGAAAGCACAAGAGAAGCUUGGCCCCGUGUUGGCUAGGAACCCGGAUUUGGUAAAAGACUUCAAUGAAUGCAUUGACUUCAGUUUCACCCCGGCUGAGUUUGAAAGGAAAUGGGCUGCACUUCAAUUGAAAUAUGAAGGUCUUAUGGAUGGUCACUUUGAGAAACUCUAUGAAGAUCGGGCUACAUGGGUGCCGUGUUACUUCAAAUUCAGGUUCUUCCCUUUCCUUCAGUCAACGCAAUGCAACGAAGGGUUCAAUGCUGUGUUGAAGCGCUAUGUGAACCCACACAAGUCAAUUCUCAACUUCGUCAAGCAAUAUGAGAAAAUUCAGGUACACAUACUCGUGAGGGAGGGCGGGAACGACUACCGGACAGAACAUCUAGAGGCACAAAGAUGGUCGCGUUUCCCCAUUGAGAGGCAUGCCUACAAAGCAUACACUAGGGACAUCUAUGUGAAGUUUAGAACUGAGUUUCAGAUGAUUGGCCAGUACGAUGUGCGUCCCGCUGGAAUCAACUUCUAUUACCUUGAGCCCAAUACAGAAGAAGUCCUAGGGUAUGGCUCGAGGAAGUACCUAGUCACAGUGAGACCAGAGCCAGCUAUCUACGAUUGCGAAUGUUGCAAGUGGCAUAGGGACAGCAUGCUUUGUUGCCAUGUCUUGAAAAUCUUCACACACCUUGACGUUAAUGAGAUACCUGAACACUACAUCAAGCGCCGCUGGACGCAACAUGGAGUACCAAGUGCACCACCGCCACCUAACGAGGGCCCUCCGCAUGACUUGCCCGCUGAGUCAGAGAACCAAGUUCGGCAAGUGACUCUGACAAUGGAUUUUGCAAAGCUAGCCAAGAAGGCAAUGACUAGUGAUGAGGCAGCCGCUGCAGAUAGGAGGCACAUGAAAGCAGCAGAUACUGAGGUUACUAAGCUGAAUAAACUGAGGAAGAAGAGGCUAAAGGCAGCCCGGGAAGCGGCUCGUGCUAGGGAAGCAUCAAACCCUAAUGCCCCAAGUACUUCAAACCAACCUCCUGCCCCCUUGCUCCUAUGGAUCCACCUCGUUCAGUCACGAAAGGGCGCAGCCGCAGCAAGCACUUCAAAUCAGCCCUGGAACUACACCCUAAGAAAAAGAACAAGUGCAGCAUUUGUGAAUCAAUCGAUCACACUGCUGCAACGUGCCUAG
This 1554-nucleotide ribosomal RNA is filed under the name Triticum aestivum (bread wheat). Its description in RNAcentral is "partial small subunit ribosomal RNA". Lineage: Eukaryota; Viridiplantae; Streptophyta; Magnoliopsida; Poales; Poaceae. The record is from RNAcentral.